CCUACGGGAGGCAGCAGUGGGGAAUAUUGGGCAAUGGGCGAAAGCCUGACCCAGCAACGCCGCGUGAAGGAUGAAGGCUCUAGGGUUGUAAACUUCUUUUGACAGGGAAGAGCAGAAGACGGUACCUGUAGAGUAAGCCACGGCUAACUACGUGCCAGCAGCCGCCGUAAUACGUAGGUGGCAAGCGUUGUCCGGGUUUACAGGGUGUAAAGGGCGUGUUGCCGGGCAGUAUAGUCAGAUGUGAAAUAUGGGGGCUCAAUCCCCGAACCGCGUUUGAAACUGUUGGGCUUGAGUAUAGGAGAGGCAGGCGGAAUAAGUAGUGUAGCGGUGAAAUGCGUAGAUAUUAGGAAGAACACCAGUAGCGAAGGCAGCCUGCUGGACGACAACUGACGGUGAGGCGCGAAAGCGUGGGGAGCAAACAGGAUUAGAUACCCUAGUAGUC
RNAcentral lists this ribosomal RNA (442 nucleotides) under uncultured bacterium. Its description in RNAcentral is "partial 16S ribosomal RNA". It matches the Rfam family "Bacterial small subunit ribosomal RNA", at positions 338 to 795 of the family's 1533-position model. The record is from RNAcentral.